UACGUAGGUGGCAAGCGUUAUCCGGAUUUAUUGGGCGUAAAGAGAACGCAGGCGGUCUUUUAAGUCUGAUGUGAAAGCCUUCGGCUUAACCGGAGUAGUGCAUUGGAAACUGGGAGACUUGAGUGCAGAAGAGGAGAGUGGAACUCCAUGUGUAGCGGUGAAAUGCGUAGAUAUAUGGAAGAACACCAGUGGCGAAAGCGGCUCUCUGGUCUGUAACUGACGCUGAGGGUCGAAAGCGUGGGUAGCAAACAGG
RNAcentral lists this ribosomal RNA (253 nucleotides) under uncultured bacterium. RNAcentral's name for it is "partial 16S ribosomal RNA". It matches the Rfam family "Bacterial small subunit ribosomal RNA", at positions 524 to 776 of the family's 1533-position model. The record is from RNAcentral.